Eucalyptus grandis is the source of this 78-nucleotide non-coding RNA. The record is from Rfam. NCBI's taxonomy places the organism in Eukaryota, Viridiplantae, Streptophyta, Magnoliopsida, Myrtales, Myrtaceae.
AGCUUUUUCUAGUGGUUGAGUACUCAUGCUCUGCGUUGAGUAUAAUGAUUCAACACUUUGAAUAGGAAGAUCUGAUGC